GCUCGCGCAAGCGAGGAAAACCUUGGUGCCUUGGGAGGGGCCCGCGGCCUAUCAGGUAGUUGGUGAGGUAACGGCUCACCAAGCCGACGACGGGUAGGGGGCGUGAGAGCGUGGCCCCCCACACGGGAACUGAGACACGGUCCCGACGCCUACGGGCGGCAGCAGUGAGGAAUCUUGCCCAAUGGGGGAAACCCUGAGGCAGCGACACCGCGUGCGGGAUGAAGGCCUUCGGGUCGUAAACCGCUUUUCUGGGGGACGAGUAAGGACGGUACUCCAGGAAUAAGUCCCGGCUAACUACGUGCCAGCAGCCGCGGUAAAACGUAGGGGGCGAGCGUUAUCCGGAAUCACUGGGCGUAAAGGGCGUCUAGGCGGCAGCCUAAGUCCCGUGUGAAAGCUCCCGGCUCAACUGGGAGAGGGCAUGGGAGACUGGGCAGCUAGAGACUCGGAGGGGGGUGUGGAAUUCCCGGUGGAGUGGUGGAAUGCGUUGAGAUCGGGAGGAACACCAGUAGCGAAGGCGGCACCCUGGCCGAGAUCUGACGCUGAAGCGCGAGAGCGUGGGGAGCGAACGGGAUUAGAUACCCCGGUAGUCCACGCCGUAAACGAUGACAACUAGGUGUUGGGUGUCCAAGGAUGCUCAGUACCGCAGCAAACGCGAUAAG
This 659-nucleotide ribosomal RNA is filed under the name uncultured bacterium. RNAcentral's name for it is "bacterial SSU rRNA". It matches the Rfam family "Bacterial small subunit ribosomal RNA", at positions 177 to 864 of the family's 1533-position model. The record is from RNAcentral.